This 254-nucleotide ribosomal RNA is filed under the name uncultured bacterium. Its description in RNAcentral is "partial 16S ribosomal RNA". It matches the Rfam family "Bacterial small subunit ribosomal RNA", at positions 524 to 776 of the family's 1533-position model. The record is from RNAcentral.
UACGUAGGGUGCAAGCGUUUGUCCGGAAUUAUUGGGCGUAAAGAGCUCGUAGGCGGUCUGUCGCGUCUGCUGUGAAAACCUAGGGCUUAACUCUGGGCGUGCAGUGGGUACGGGCAGGCUAGAGUGCGGUAGGGGAGACUGGAAUUCCUGGUGUAGCGGUGAAAUGCGCAGAUAUCGGGAGGAACACCGGUGGCGAAGGCGGCGAUCUGGGUAGAUACUGACGCUGAGGUGCGAAAGCGUGGGGAGCAAACAGG